GACGAACGCUGGCGGCGUGCUUAACACAUGCAAGUCGAACGAAGAGCGAUGGAAGCUUGCUUCUACCACUCUUAGUGGCGAACGGGUGAGUAACGCGUAAUCAACCUGCCCUUCAGAGGGGGACAACAGUUGGAAACGACUGCUAAUACCGCAUACGAUCUAAUCUCGGCAUCGAGGAUAGAUGAAAGGUGGCCUCUACAUGUAAGCUAUCACUGAAGGAGGGGAUUGCGUCUGAUUAGCUAGUUGGAGGGGUAACGUCCCACCAAGGCGAUGAUCAGUAGCCGGUCUGAGAGGAUGAACGGCCACAUUGGGACUGAGACACGGCCCAGACUCCUACGGGAGGCAGCAGUGGGGAAUCUUCCGCAAUGGACGAAAGUCUGACGGAGCAACGCCGCGUGAGCGAUGACGGCCUUCGGGUUGUAAAGCUCUGUUAAUCGGGACGAAAGGCCUUCUUGCGAAUAGUGAGAAGGAUUGACGGUACCGGAAGAGAAAGCCACGGCUAACUACGUG
Molecule: ribosomal RNA, 510 nt
Filed under: uncultured bacterium
Lineage: Bacteria
Description: partial 16S ribosomal RNA
Rfam family: Bacterial small subunit ribosomal RNA
Source: RNAcentral